UACCAGGACUUUAAGAUUACAAGGCAUACCCACUAUUUUUAUAGACUGUACAAUACUUCUCACAGUGCAGCUGCAUCCUGAAAAUUAUUUGCAAAUAGCCCUUGCUUGCAUAAAUAGCUCAGCUGGGCUUUUCUGUAACAAAGACACAGUAGUCCUUACCCAGGCCACAAACCCCACUGACCCACACAAGUGGUAUUCUGCUAGGGUGAGACCAUGGACUUCAAAAAAAAAAAAAAGAAUAACAUAUGUUUGAAAGAUGAGAGAUUGGAGGAGAACUUGUUGGCUUCUGUGGAGCACAAAAGGAACUGUGGGAAAGUGGUGAAGGACUUUCAUCAGACAAAAGGAUUAUCCUGUUUUCUGCAGUAAAGCAGGUGGCUGCCAGCUGAAACAGUGAAUGAAAAAGUAGAAAAACCUGCUUGUAAAAUGACUUUCCUAUCACAUUUACUCAGGAGAAUCCUGUGGAUGAUGCAAAAGUAAAGGCCACUGAAGAAUUGGCUCUGCAGGUAUAUCAGGCUGAAACUGCACAUCUGUUAGCACAGAAGUAUGACCUUUAAUACCAGAUACCUGAAUUUGGAAUCCAAAGUGUAACUGAGGAAGAAAACCUAAAUCCAGAUACUUAAAUCACUUGAAUAUUUCCAACAUUGUUAUAUAAGAAUCUCACAUUUAAAAGGAUAUAAUCUAAAAAGACUAUUUAUAAAUGAAGGGUUCCUAUUAACAUCUAAAAUAAAUGAGCAUUAUCUCACAAA
Long non-coding RNA from Passer domesticus (house sparrow), 746 nucleotides. RefSeq lists it as uncharacterized. The transcript is spliced from 4 exons. The record is from RefSeq and is a predicted model, not a curated record. NCBI's taxonomy places the organism in Eukaryota, Metazoa, Chordata, Aves, Passeriformes, Passeridae.